CCUGGUGGCUAUUGCGGGGAGCCUGCACCCGAUCCCAUUCCGAACUCGGCCGUGAAACUCCCCAGCGCCGAUGGUACUUCGUCUUAAGACGCGGGAGAGUAGGACACUGCCAGGC
Molecule: ribosomal RNA, 115 nt
Filed under: Breoghania sp. L-A4
Lineage: Bacteria; Pseudomonadati; Pseudomonadota; Alphaproteobacteria; Hyphomicrobiales; Stappiaceae
Source: RNAcentral